UACGGAGGGUGCAAGCGUUAUCCGGAUUUACUGGGUUUAAAGGGUGCGUAGGUGGGUAGGUAAGUCAGUGGUGAAAUCUUCGAGCUUAACUCGGAAACUGCCAUUGAUACUAUCUGUCUUGAAUACUUUGGAGGUAAGCGGAAUAUGUCAUGUAGCGGUGAAAUGCUUAGAUAUGACAUAGAACACCAAUUGCGAAGGCAGCUUACUACACAGUCAUUGACACUGAGGCACGAAGGCGUGGGGAUCAAACAGG
This 253-nucleotide ribosomal RNA is filed under the name uncultured bacterium. RNAcentral describes it as "partial 16S ribosomal RNA". It matches the Rfam family "Bacterial small subunit ribosomal RNA", at positions 524 to 776 of the family's 1533-position model. The record is from RNAcentral.